GAGGGUAUAGCUCGGUGGUAGAGCAUGUCCUUAGUGUGCACGAGGUCUUGGGUUCUAUCCCCGGUACCUCCG
RNAcentral lists this transfer RNA (72 nucleotides) under Camelus bactrianus (Bactrian camel). It matches the Rfam family "tRNA". From Rfam's summary of the family: Transfer RNA (tRNA) molecules are approximately 80 nucleotides in length. Their secondary structure includes four short double-helical elements and three loops (D, anti-codon, and T loops). Lineage: Eukaryota; Metazoa; Chordata; Mammalia; Artiodactyla; Camelidae. The record is from Rfam by way of RNAcentral. RNAcentral also lists the same sequence under 2 other names.